Molecule: long non-coding RNA, 1446 nt
Filed under: Gallus gallus (chicken)
Lineage: Eukaryota; Metazoa; Chordata; Aves; Galliformes; Phasianidae
Description: lncRNA (ENSGALG00010007464.1)
Source: RNAcentral
AUGACUAAUGGACAUUUCCCCACUGCUUAUCAACACAGUGUUUUGAGAGGUAGAUAAUGCAAAUUAUCCAUUAACUUAUGUGCUGGGUCUGCUCUUACCGGAUUUAGCGUGCCACUGGUCAGCUCAGCCACAGUGGAGAUAUGUUCUUUGAAAAGAAGCUCAUAAAAGAAAAGCUGAAGAGUAUGGAGUCCUAUAGAUUAUAUUUAAAAAGUUAAAAAGGAUAUUCUUGUCUGUUCUCUGGCCCCAGACAUAUUCAGGUACUGAUGCAAAUUGGACCAGCUUCACCAGAACAGAUGAAAAAAUCCACUCCAGUUCUGGCAUUUAAAACAUUUCUGAAGGAUGCGGUUGAUCUUCACUGCAACUGUGUUCUGGUCCAAACAGAAAGAAGACUUGAGCCCAAGCUUCCUCAGUCAAAACUGUGGCCAUCUUUGUCAUACCAGGGCAUUCCAUUCUUACAUGAUAGGAAAUAUUGGCAGUCACGGGCAAACCGAGCCAGUUAGACCAGCUGGUCCUGUUACAGGUAAAUGAAGAAAAACAAAUGUCACAUCAAAUCCAACCUGAGCUGCUUCUGGCAUGUGUUUGCCAUGGGAGGAGCAAGGGCAGAUUCAAAGCCACAUUCACAUCGACUUCAAUGAAAGCUAACCCUGGGAUUAAAAUUUGAAAACUGCUGCUAUUCCUCCUUAGAAAAACUGCAUUUCAAACAAAUCUGUACUUCAGCCAGUCUCAAAGUUGAUCUUAAUCAACUGCUUAAAACACUCUGACUGAAGCACUGAGCAGUGCACUGAAGUUACCAAAGCUGAAGAAUCACCGGAAUUCUUGGCAGCAUUCUCUGUGGAUGUUAUGUGUUCUCUGUGAGCUACUUUGUACGGAAUCAAAACCCCAGGAGAUGGCAAGAAGGUCACCUGGCUAGGGCCAGCAGAGAAGGGCUGUUGGACUUUGGAGACUGCCCAUUUAAGAGAUGUUUCCUUAAACAUAGAAGGCCAAGGUUCAGGGUGUUUACUUUUUUUUAGUGGGAUUUCCUCACUAACUAGACACUGACUGACUGUUCUGGUGGGAAAUUCAUCACUUCCAGAAGCAAAUUAAAGAAGUCUCCAUGUCCUGGUUUCAGCUGACAUAGAGUUAAUUUUCUUCCUAGUAGCUGGUACAGCACUGUUUUGGAUUUAGGAAGGGAAUAAUGUUGACAACACACCAAUGUUUAGUUAUUGCUGAACAGCUCUGCAUACAUCCAAGGACAUUUCAGCUCCUCGUGCUGCCCAACCAGUGGGGAGAUGAGGGUGCACAAGGAGCUGGGAGUGGACAGAACCAGCAUGGCUGACCCCAACAGGCCAAAGGCACAUUCCAUACCAUGUGGUGUCAUGCUGCACAGUAAAACUGAGGGAGUGGCCAUCAAUUGGGAACUGACUGGGCAUUGGUCAGCAGGUGGUGAGCAGUUGCAUUGUACAUCAC